GAAAUGCGAUAAGUAGUGUGAAUUGCAGAAUUCAGUGAAUCAUCGAAUCUUUGAACGCACAUUGCGCCCCUUGGUAUUCCAUGGGGCAUGCCUGUUCGAGCGUCAUUUGUACCCUCAAGCUCUGCUUGGUGUUGGGUGUUUGUCCCGUCUCCGCGCGUGGACUCGCCCCAAAGUGAUUGGCAGCCGGCGUACUGGUCCCGGAGCGCAGCACAUGUCGCGCAAACGAGUGCCUUGGUACGGCGGCGUCCAUAAGCCCAUCUCUCACGCUCUUGACCUCGGAUCAGGUAGGGAUACCCGCUGAACUUAAGC
This 309-nucleotide unclassified non-coding RNA is filed under the name plant metagenome. RNAcentral describes it as "partial contains 5.8S ribosomal RNA, internal transcribed spacer 2, and large subunit ribosomal RNA". The stretch from base 1 to 105 matches the Rfam family "5.8S ribosomal RNA", at positions 50 to 154 of the family's 154-position model. The record is from RNAcentral.